GUCCCCAUCGUCUAGUGGCCCAGGACACUGGCUUUUCACGCCUGUAACGCGGGUUCAAACCCCGCUGGGGACACCA
This 76-nucleotide transfer RNA is filed under the name Deltaproteobacteria bacterium. Its description in RNAcentral is "tRNA-Glu". It matches the Rfam family "tRNA". Rfam says of the family: Transfer RNA (tRNA) molecules are approximately 80 nucleotides in length. Their secondary structure includes four short double-helical elements and three loops (D, anti-codon, and T loops). The record is from RNAcentral. Lineage: Bacteria; Pseudomonadati; Myxococcota; Myxococcia.